AAUGACUCUCGGCAACGGAUAUCUCGGCUCUUGCAUCGAUGAAGAACGUAGCGAAAUGCGAUACUUGGUGUGAAUUGCAGAAUCCCGUGAACCAUCGAGUCUUUGAACGCAAGUUGCGCCUCAAGCCGUCAGGCUAAGGGCACGUCUGCCUGGGUGUCACGC
Molecule: ribosomal RNA, 162 nt
Filed under: Tropaeolum beuthii
Lineage: Eukaryota; Viridiplantae; Streptophyta; Magnoliopsida; Brassicales; Tropaeolaceae
Also listed under: 2 other names
Description: 5.8S ribosomal RNA
Rfam family: 5.8S ribosomal RNA
About the family: 5.8S ribosomal RNA (5.8S rRNA) is a component of the large subunit of the eukaryotic ribosome. It is transcribed by RNA polymerase I as part of the 45S precursor that also contains 18S and 28S rRNA.
Source: RNAcentral